UACGAAGGGUGCUAGCGUUGUUCGGAAUUACUGGGCGUAAAGGGUGCGUAGGUUGUAUGGUUAGUUAGUGGUGAAAGCCCAGAGCUUAACUCUGGAAUUGCCAUUAAAACUGCCAUGCUAGAGAGUGUUAGAGGUGAGUGGAAUUUCUAGUGUAGGAGUGAAAUCCGUAGAUAUUAGAAGGAACAUCAAUGGCGAAGGCAGCUCACUGGGUCACAUCUGACACUGAGGCACGAAAGCGUGGGUAGCAAACAGG
Molecule: ribosomal RNA, 253 nt
Filed under: uncultured bacterium
Lineage: Bacteria
Description: partial 16S ribosomal RNA
Rfam family: Bacterial small subunit ribosomal RNA
Source: RNAcentral